GCGCCCGUAGCUCAGUGGAUAGAGCGUGAGGUUGCGGACCUCAAGGUCGGGGGUUCAAGUCCCUCCGGGCGCGCCA
Molecule: transfer RNA, 76 nt
Filed under: bacterium
Lineage: Bacteria
Also listed under: 4 other names
Description: tRNA-Arg
Rfam family: tRNA
About the family: Transfer RNA (tRNA) molecules are approximately 80 nucleotides in length. Their secondary structure includes four short double-helical elements and three loops (D, anti-codon, and T loops).
Source: RNAcentral